UACAGAGGGUGCGAGCGUUAAUCGGAAUUACUGGGCGUAAAGCGCGCGUAGGCGGCUUUGCAAGUCGGGUGUGAAAUCCCCAGGCUUAACCUGGGAACUGCACUCGAGACUGCAUGGCUAGAGUAUGGGAGAGGGAAGUGGAAUUUCAGGUGUAGCGGUGAAAUGCGUAGAUAUAGGAAGGAACACCAGUGGCGAAGGCGACCACCUGGACUGAUACUGACACUGAGGUGCGAAAGCGUGGGGAGCAAACAGG
This 253-nucleotide ribosomal RNA is filed under the name uncultured bacterium. RNAcentral's name for it is "partial 16S ribosomal RNA". It matches the Rfam family "Bacterial small subunit ribosomal RNA", at positions 524 to 776 of the family's 1533-position model. The record is from RNAcentral.